Molecule: unclassified non-coding RNA, 209 nt
Filed under: soil metagenome
Description: partial contains small subunit ribosomal RNA, internal transcribed spacer 1, and 5.8S ribosomal RNA
Source: RNAcentral
UCUCCGUUGGUGAACCAGCGGAGGGAUCAUUACAGAGUGACCACUGUGUCGUGGCUCUGCCAACCCCGCGAACCUUACCCUUUGUCGUUGCCUCGGCGGGCUCGCCCGCCGCAGGCCUCAACCAAAAACGCACUGAAAUGCUCGGCGCUCCUUCUGACAGCAAACUUUUAAACGAGUAAAAACUUUUGGCAACGGAUCUCUUGGCUCUG